RNAcentral lists this long non-coding RNA (207 nucleotides) under Olea europaea (common olive). Its description in RNAcentral is "long non-coding RNA (OEUR_LNC005688)". The record is from RNAcentral. Lineage: Eukaryota; Viridiplantae; Streptophyta; Magnoliopsida; Lamiales; Oleaceae.
CUUUCUUGAAAAGGUAUCACCAUUUGUUAUUCAGAAAAACAUAAUGCAAUUAACUGUAGAAGGUAAACAAAAAAUGUUGCCUAGAGUUAAUAAAAACAAAGAAUUAAUUUAUAUAAUAUAAGGAAUUAGAUCAAUCAAAACUAGUAUUUUGAGCCCAUAUAUUGAGAGAACUCUCAAUUUACCAGACUAUUGUAUGGUAAGAUUUCA